UCCAGGCCGCAUGAGACGAAGCCAGCCUGCGCCUCUGCCAGGCAGGGCACUGAACUUGGGGUCUGGAGACCCAGGCUGGACUC
Molecule: microRNA precursor, 83 nt
Filed under: Tursiops truncatus (common bottlenose dolphin)
Lineage: Eukaryota; Metazoa; Chordata; Mammalia; Artiodactyla; Delphinidae
Description: miRNA (ENSTTRG00000023487.1)
Source: RNAcentral